Molecule: ribosomal RNA, 497 nt
Filed under: uncultured bacterium
Lineage: Bacteria
Description: partial 16S ribosomal RNA
Rfam family: Bacterial small subunit ribosomal RNA
Source: RNAcentral
GAUGAACGCUGGCGGCGUGCCUAAUACAUGCAAGUCGAGCGAACAGACGAGGAGCUUGCUCCUCUGACGUUAGCGGCGGACGGGUGAGUAACACGUGGAUAACCUACCUAUAAGACUGGGAUAACUUCGGGAAACCGGAGCUAAUACCGGAUAAUAUAUUGAACCGCAUGGUUCAAUAGUGAAAGACGGUUUUGCUGUCACUUAUAGAUGGAUCCGCGCCGCAUUAGCUAGUUGGUAAGGUAACGGCUUACCAAGGCGACGAUGCGUAGCCGACCUGAGAGGGUGAUAGGCCACACUGGAACUGAGACACGGUCCAGACUCCUACGGGAGGCAGCAGUAGGGAAUCUUCCGCAAAGGGCGAAAGCUUGACGGAGCAACGCCGCGUGAGUGAUGAAGGUCUUCGGAUCGUAAAACUCUGUUAUUAGGGAAGAACAAAUGUGUAAGUAACUAUGCACGUCUUGACGGUACCUAAUCAGAAAGCCACGGCUAACUACGUG